AUUUUCCGAGCCGAUUAGGACAAGCCGAUUGGGUCAUACAGUACCUGUAGAGGAGGAUUACAUAUGUUCAAUUCAUGGACUAUUCAGACAUCAUCAGUAUGUACCUAAUACGAGAGUUGAGUAUGAGAAGAUGUAAACUGCAAAAUGCUACCGCAAACCUCUUGCUGGUUGACCCCGUCAGGCAUCAGAGCCUUGUCUCGUCCUCGGCCGGUCGACUCUCACCGGCUUUGCUUCGUCGAACGGGCGGACCGUGAACACAGCGGACGACAAGUUGAGUCACGGAGUCAGGUUUAUCGAAUUCUCCGAAUCUAAUUUUGAUUUGCUGGUUACGGACGCCGCUGGAGCCUUAGCAGCAGGUGCGGGCACAGGCGACCUCUGCACCUGC
Molecule: long non-coding RNA, 385 nt
Filed under: Sorghum bicolor (sorghum)
Lineage: Eukaryota; Viridiplantae; Streptophyta; Magnoliopsida; Poales; Poaceae
Description: long non-coding RNA (SBIC_LNC003925)
Source: RNAcentral